This 433-nucleotide ribosomal RNA is filed under the name uncultured bacterium. Its description in RNAcentral is "partial 16S ribosomal RNA". It matches the Rfam family "Bacterial small subunit ribosomal RNA", at positions 29 to 507 of the family's 1533-position model. The record is from RNAcentral.
AACGAACGCUGGCGGCGUGCCUAACACAUGCAAGUCGAACGAAACCUUCGGGUCUAGUGGCGCACGGGUGCGUAAGAAGUGGGAACCUGCACUUAGGUACGGUAUACCUCCCCGAAGGAGGUGUUCAUAAAGGUUAGUGUAUUAGCACCUAAGAUUUAUCGCUUUUGGAUGGGCCCGCGUUAGUUUAGGUGGUUGGUAGGGUACAAGCCUACCAAUGCGACGAUCCAUAGCUGGUGUGUGAGGAUGCUCAGCCACACUGGGACUGAGACACGGCCCAGACUCCUACGGGAGGCAGCAGUGGGGAAUAUUGGACAAGGGACGAAAGCCUAAUCCAGCAAUGCCGCGGGAGUGAUGAAGGCCUUAGUGUUGUAAAUCUCUUUUACCCGGGAUGAUAAUGACAGUACCGGGAGAAUAAGCUCCGGCUAACUCCGUG